CCUGAGUCAAAAGAUGGUUUUUCAUGGGAUACCUGGUUUUUCAUGGGUUUUUCAUGGGAUAACUCGGUUGAGCGCCUGACUUUGGCUCAGGUCAUAAUCUCAUGGUUCUUGAGUUCAAGCCUUGCGUCGGGCUUUGUGCUGACAGCUUGGAGCCUGGAGCCAACUUUGGAUUCUGUGUGUGUGUAUCUCUCUCUCUGUCCCUCCCCCCCCCCCAUCUCAAAUAAAUAAACAUUAAAAAAAAUCCAAAUUUAUAUCCGGUUUAAAUUGAUUUCGAAGGACUAUCAAAGGAAGCUUGUAUUGAAACAAGGACUCAAGAGCCAGUCUAAGGGCAGCAUGGAUGGCUCAGAGGUUAGACCUACUGAACUAGGUUGUGGGGAUUAGAGGGAGAGGAUAAUGUGGGCUCAUAGGAACCUCAAUUCUGUGAUUAUUUUUAUUUAGCAACAUCUGGAAGAGCCAAGUCCUUCUCCACAGGCCAUAUGUAUCCACAAGGAAAUGCCAGAGCUGUCCAUCACUGGGGCCUCUCCCUGCUCACCAGCCAAGGUUGCUACCAAGAGUCCUCAAUCUGCUAAGAGUAGGAUUGGGUUUGGGCUUCCAGGCCAUGCCCGCUGAAACAUGUAAGAAACCAGCUACUGUAUGCGAUGCGGUGGUUCUAAAGGCUUACGACUGCUUUUUCACAAACCGCUGUCCUCAUUUAGCCACAGUCCAUGGAGAUGGAGAAGGCUCUAAAAGUUCCAGAAUCAUCCUAACUCUCCAAAGAAGACUGGCAUUUGCUAGUUUGAAACUCUGCAAUGGAGAUGGUCCAAUGACUUGAUUGCCUUUGUAGACUACAGUGAAAUUUCCUCUUUGCUCCUUGGGUCUAAGUAAAUGUCAGAAAUACUGAAAGGUUGGAAGUGAAUGGUUCUAUCAACAAAUCCAUACUGAUUGGAUGUAGUGGCAUAAAAUGAACUCAGAAACCCAUCACCCUCCAGGUAUGCUGCUCUGCUUCUAUCAUUUGUGACCUAUGUUGGUGCUUUUGGUGUUCACUGGCUUCUUCAAUUGUCAUAUAGCUAUAAGUACAAAUAGGGGCCUUAGCCAUUGUUUACUCCUGCCCUGGAAGGUCACAUAUAUGUGUCUAAAGGUUCUCUGCUAGGCAAACAUUAUGAUAAUUAUGAUAAGGAGUCUUUUUUCCCAGUAUCAAAAAAUGAUGUCUCCCUUCAAAAACAAAUGAAAACUCAAACACAGGGUUUUCUGAAAUUCACCCUCUCGAUGAACCCUCAGGUAAUUUGACCAUUCCUUUCUUUACAUCUCUGAGGUCACAAAGAAGAGGACAGUCAACGUUAAACUUCUGUUCUGACAAGAAGUUGAAAUAUAGUGGCUAAGUUCAGGGAUCCUGAGGCUGGAAUGCUUGGAUCCAAAUGUUUGACUCUGCCUCCAACUAGCUGUGUGACCUUGGAAAGUUACUUAACUUUUCUGUGCAUCAGUGUUCUCAUAUAUAAAAUGUGGAUGAUAAGAAUAGUACCAAUUCCAUCAUUUGCCUAUGAAGACUAAAUGAACAAAAACAUACACAGCAUUUAGAAAGGAGCCUGGCACAAGAUGAGUAUUCAAAGUUAGCUGUCAUUGAUUAUAGGUUUUAUUGCAUUGCGAAGCCUCUAAUCAUCCUGACUUUUCUCUGUAAUGUGUCUGCUCAGACUUAUACCUGUGGGUCCCUAUAAUAAACCAUGUACUUAAGAUUAGUCUGAGAAUUCU
RNAcentral lists this long non-coding RNA (1725 nucleotides) under Felis catus (domestic cat). RNAcentral describes it as "lncRNA (ENSFCAG00000043812.2)". The record is from RNAcentral. Lineage: Eukaryota; Metazoa; Chordata; Mammalia; Carnivora; Felidae.